AGAGUUUGAUUCUGGCUCAGGACGAACGCUGGCGGCGCGCCUAACACAUGCAAGUCGAACGGAGCGUUGCGAGAAGAGCCCUUCGGGGUGAUUCAUGCAAUUGCUUAGUGGCGAACGGGUGAGUAACACGUGAGUAACCUGCCCUUGAGUGGGGGACAACAUUUGGAAACAGAUGCUAAUACCGCAUAAGACCACGGAGCCGCAUGGCUCUGAGGCCAAAGGAUUUAUUCGCUUAAGGAUGGACUCGCGUCUGAUUAGCUAGAUGGUGAGGUAACGGCCCACCAUGGCAACGAUCAGUAGCCGGACUGAGAGGUUGAACGGCCACAUUGGGACUGAGACACGGCCCAG
Molecule: ribosomal RNA, 348 nt
Filed under: uncultured bacterium
Lineage: Bacteria
Description: bacterial SSU rRNA
Rfam family: Bacterial small subunit ribosomal RNA
Source: RNAcentral